RNAcentral lists this ribosomal RNA (468 nucleotides) under uncultured bacterium. RNAcentral describes it as "partial 16S ribosomal RNA". It matches the Rfam family "Bacterial small subunit ribosomal RNA", at positions 28 to 507 of the family's 1533-position model. The record is from RNAcentral.
GACGAACGCUGGCGGCGUGCUUAACACAUGCAAGUCGAACGGAAAGGCCCUGCUUUUGUGGGGUGCUCGAGUGGCGAACGGGUGAGUAACACGUGAGUAACCUGCCCUUGACUUUGGGAUAACUUCAGGAAACUGGGGCUAAUACCGGAUAUGAGCUCCUGCUGCAUGGUGGGGGUUGGAAAGUUUCGGCGGUUGGGGAUGGACUCGCGGCUUAUCAGCUUGUUGGUGGGGUAGUGGCUUACCAAGGCUUUGACGGGUAGCCGGCCUGAGAGGGUGACCGGCCACAUUGGGACUGAGAUACGGCCCAGACUCCUACGGGAGGCAGGAGUGGGGGAUAUUGCACAAUGGGCGGAAGCCUGAUGCAGCAACGCCGCGUGCGGGAUGACGGCCUUCGGGUUGUAAACCGCUUUCGCCUGGGAAGAAGCGUGAGUGACGGUAAUGGGUAAAGAAGCACCGGCUAACUACGUG